This 373-nucleotide ribosomal RNA is filed under the name uncultured organism. RNAcentral describes it as "partial 16S ribosomal RNA". It matches the Rfam family "Bacterial small subunit ribosomal RNA", at positions 527 to 896 of the family's 1533-position model. The record is from RNAcentral.
GUAGGUGGCAAGCGUUGUCCGGAAUUAUUGGGCGUAAAGCGCGCGCAGGCGGUCCCUUAAGUCUGAUGUGAAAGCCCACGGCUCAACCGUGGAGGGUCAUUGGAAACUGGGGGACUUGAGUACAGAAGAGGAAAGCGGAAUUCCACGUGUAGCGGUGAAAUGCGUAGAGAUGUGGAGGAACACCAGUGGCGAAGGCGGCUUUCUGGUCUGUAACUGACGCUGAGGCGCGAAAGCGUGGGGAGCAAACAGGGAUUAGAUACCCUGGUAGUCCACGCCGUAAACGAUGAGUGCUAAGUGUUAGGGGGUUUCCCGCCCCUUAGUGCUGCAGCUAACGCAUUAAGCACUCCGCCUGGGGAGUACGGCCGCAAGGCUG